AGUGAACGCUGGCGGUAGGCCUAACACAUGCAAGUCGAACGGCAGCACAGUAAGAGCUUGCUCUUACGGGUGGCGAGUGGCGGACGGGUGAGGAAUACAUCGGAAUCUACUUUUUCGUGGGGGAUAACGUAGGGAAACUUACGCUAAUACCGCAUACGACCUACGGGUGAAAGCAGGGGAUCUUCGGACCUUGCGCGAUUGAAUGAGCCGAUGUCGGAUUAGCUAGUUGGCGGGGUAAAGGCCCACCAAGGCGACGAUCCGUAGCUGGUCUGAGGGGAUGAUCAGCCACACUGGAACUGAGACACGGUCCAGACUCCUACGGGAGGCGGCAGUGGGGAAUAUUGGACAAUGGGCGCAAGCCUGAUCCAGCCAUACCGCGUGGGUGAAGAAGGCCUUCGGGUUGUAAAGCCCUUUUGUUGGGAAAGAAAAGCAGCAGGUUAAUACCCCGCUGUUCUGACGGUACCCAAAGAAUAAGCACCGGCUAACUUCGUG
RNAcentral lists this ribosomal RNA (492 nucleotides) under uncultured bacterium. RNAcentral describes it as "partial 16S ribosomal RNA". It matches the Rfam family "Bacterial small subunit ribosomal RNA", at positions 29 to 507 of the family's 1533-position model. The record is from RNAcentral.